CGGGGCGUGGCGCAGCCUGGUAGCGCGCACCGUUCGGGACGGUGAGGUCCUCAGUUCAAAUCUGGGCGCCCCGA
RNAcentral lists this transfer RNA (74 nucleotides) under Thermoleophilaceae bacterium. RNAcentral describes it as "tRNA-Pro". Lineage: Bacteria; Bacillati; Actinomycetota; Thermoleophilia; Thermoleophilales; Thermoleophilaceae. The record is from RNAcentral.